AGAGUUUGAUUAUGGCUCAGGAUGAACGCUGGCGGCGUGCUUAACACAUGCAAGUCGAACGAGGUCCAACCUUCGGGUGAAGACCGAGUGGCGAACGGGUGAGUAACACGUGGGGAACCUGCCCUUCUCUCUGGGAUAACCUCGGGAAACCGAAGCUAAUACCGGAUACUCCUUGCGGACCGCAUGGUCUGCUCGGGAAAGCUCCGGCGGAGAAGGAUGGCCCCGCGGCCCAUUAGCUUGUUGGUGGGGUAACGGCCCACCAAGGCGACGAUGGGUAGCCGAGCUGAGAGGCUGAUCGGCCACACUGGGACUGAGACACGGCCCAGACUCCUACGGGAGGCAGCAGUGGGGAAUCUUGCGCAAUGGGCGAAAGCCUGACGCAGCAACGCCGCGUGCGGGAUGAAGGCUCUCGGGUCGUAAACCGCUUUCAGCAGGGAUGAAAAUGACAGUACCUGCAGAAGAAGCCCCGGCUAAAUACGUGCCAGCAGCCGCGGUAAUGCGUAUGGGGCAAGCGUUAUCCGGAUUCAUUGGGCGUAAAGCGCGCGUAGGCGGCUUGUUAAGUCAGGCGUGAAAUCCGGGGGCUCAACCCGCGGCCUGCGUCUGAAACUGGCAGGCUUGAGUCUGGUAGAGGAAAGUGGAAUUCCUGGUGUAGCGGUGAAAUGCGCAGAUAUCAGGAGGGACACCAGUGGCGAAGGCGGCUUUCUGGGCCACGACUGACGCUGAGGCGCGAAAGCUAGGGGAGCGAACAGGAUUAGAUACCCUGGUAGUC
This 769-nucleotide ribosomal RNA is filed under the name uncultured Actinomycetes bacterium. Its description in RNAcentral is "bacterial SSU rRNA". It matches the Rfam family "Bacterial small subunit ribosomal RNA", at positions 8 to 795 of the family's 1533-position model. Lineage: Bacteria; Bacillati; Actinomycetota; Actinomycetes. The record is from RNAcentral.